Molecule: ribosomal RNA, 205 nt
Filed under: uncultured bacterium
Lineage: Bacteria
Description: partial 16S ribosomal RNA
Rfam family: Bacterial small subunit ribosomal RNA
Source: RNAcentral
UACGGGGGGGGCAAGCGUUGUUCGGAAUUACUGGGCGUAAAGGGCUCGUAGGCGGCCAACUAAGUCGGAUGUGAAAUCCCCAGGCUUAACCUGGGAACUGCAUCCGAUACUGGAUGGCUUGAAUCCGGGAGAGGGAUGCAGAAUUCCAGGUGUAGCGGUGAAAUGCGUAGAUAUCUGGAGGAAUACCGGUGGCGAAGGCGGCAUC